GAGGAUUUAGCUCAGUGGUAGAGUGCUUGCCUAGCAAGCACAAGGCCCUGGGUUCGGUCCCCAGCUCUUCU
Molecule: transfer RNA, 71 nt
Filed under: Rattus norvegicus (Norway rat)
Lineage: Eukaryota; Metazoa; Chordata; Mammalia; Rodentia; Muridae
Rfam family: tRNA
About the family: Transfer RNA (tRNA) molecules are approximately 80 nucleotides in length. Their secondary structure includes four short double-helical elements and three loops (D, anti-codon, and T loops). Further hydrogen bonds mediate the characteristic L-shaped molecular structure. tRNAs have two regions of fundamental functional importance: the anti-codon, which is responsible for specific mRNA codon recognition, and the 3' end, to which the tRNAs corresponding amino acid is attached (by aminoacyl-tRNA synthetases). tRNAs cope with the degeneracy of the genetic code in two manners: having more than one tRNA (with a specific anti-codon) for a particular amino acid; and 'wobble' base-pairing, i.e. permitting non-standard base-pairing at the 3rd anti-codon position.
Source: Rfam by way of RNAcentral